UUAGAUUGGGCUAACUCAAACAGCUUGGGCGAGCUUCGUCAAAACAAAUAGCCUUUGAUUCCUGAUUAUCACAUUACAUUACAGUUACAGAAAAAAACUAAUUCAUCCGGCGAUAUUACUGUGCUAAGCACUGUGGAUACAGACUGUGAUUUCCUAUGGAUUUCAAUAGUGUGGCAUCUAAGGCUAUGAAUGUGACCUUCGUGUGUGAUCGACUAAUCUUGGUUGAUGGAGAUUUUGCUGCCCAGGAGUAUCUGGCUUGAGCUGUUUUCGGGGGGGCUACUUGGUUUGUAUGCUAACAGAAAAGGGUCUCCCCAGUUGUGGUCUCUCUGCAAUCACUUCCCUGGUUAAUUACACCUUUAUCGUCAUAAAAUUUCUCAAUCAAAUCCUAUAUAAUAUUACUAAACAUGUUAUACGUGAAUGGUUUGAACAAGAUUCUCUCCUACUUUUAUAGUUUUGAUGGCUUACACUAUAGUUUAGACUAAGCAUUUCUUUCUUUUAUGAUGAUUGGAUUACAGUGGAAUGCAAUCUUUUUCGGGCUUCUUAUUUAUUUUGAGUAGUGAAAGGACUUCCCUUGAAAAACAAAAAUUUAAUUGUUCUACAAAGCUGUGUUAUGAUGAGAAUUCAUUAUUACAUUCAAAUAUUGCAAUAACAUUGAUGAAGGGGCAAAAAAUGGCCAUCUAAUUUCGACCUUUUAUUGAUACUUUACUUGGAAUAUUUGAGCUUGGUGCACCUCAUUCAAAUGGUGGUGAACAAGCACAGCGUAGGGUAAAUUGAAGGAGAAAAGGAAAGCUGAAGCAGAAGCACCAUUGAGACCUUGUACUGCGGCCGUUCUCUACCGGUUAAUCGGUUUCCGAGGAGGCACUUUAUUUGCGUAAUGAAUUCAUCGUUCAGACUGUGUAGUGGGGGUUGACAUCAAUAUCCAAACCCCUUAACUUGGCAAUGGACUCUACCUUGCCUUUCAGGGUGUGAAGCUCUCGUAAUCUGCUUGGCAUGAAAAGAGACAUCAAAUUUGUAUGCAAUACCGUAAGUGGAAUCGUGAUGAAUAAGCAUGAAAUAUGAAAUUCGGAGGAAAGAGACCAAACCUUGCAAUCUCUGCACGUCUUCUGGCUUCUUCUGCCAUGAUGUUAAUGUCCCUGAAAGUGUGCUUUUCGGAGAACGAUUUUGCUUCCAUAGAUUGGAGGCCAUGAAGUGUUCGCUGCUCAGCCGCCCACGCAGCUUUUCGAGCUUCCUUACCGAAGUCCUUUUGGGUGGUCAUUGCUGUCUGAGAACAAUAAAUAAUGGCCAAAUCUCAGAAGGAAGUUUUCAAGAAUUUAAAUGAAAGACGAUUAAGGUUUUCUUUCACUCACUCUUUGGUUAUAUACCAGACUCCAGGCUCUGCCACUCUGUGCAUAUCGAACAGCGAACUUGAUAGGAUCAAGCAGCUUGUAUGUGACAAUGUUGUAUAGCCAUAUGACAGCAGUCCAGCGCCAGCCAAUCUUACUGAUUCCAGCAAAAUCCCAUGUUGCUGUGGCAGAGAUCACAGUUGCAAUCUGUACCAGUUAAACAGUUAGUUUAGAACUGUAGUCUCUUUGGACUAGAAAGUAAAAAUAAAUCUUUCAGGCAAUGAAAUAUUGUUUAAUAACUUGCAA
Molecule: long non-coding RNA, 1628 nt
Organism: Populus trichocarpa (black cottonwood)
Lineage: Eukaryota; Viridiplantae; Streptophyta; Magnoliopsida; Malpighiales; Salicaceae
Exons: 2
Source: RefSeq, a predicted model, not a curated record